This 261-nucleotide ribosomal RNA is filed under the name uncultured archaeon. RNAcentral's name for it is "partial 16S ribosomal RNA". It matches the Rfam family "Archaeal small subunit ribosomal RNA", at positions 748 to 1008 of the family's 1478-position model. The record is from RNAcentral.
CAGCCGUAAACUAUGCGCGUUAGGUGUACUGGUGACCACGAGUCACCGGGGUGCCGAAGGGAAACCGUGAAACGUGCCGCCUGGGAAGUACGGUCGCAAGGCUGAAACUUAAAGGAAUUGGCGGGGAGCACCACAACGGGUGGGGCCUGCGGUUUAAUUUGGACUCAACGCCGGAAAUCUCACCGGAUAGGACAGACAUAUGAUAGUCGGGCUGAAGACUCUACUUGAUGAUCUGAGAGGUGGUGCAUGGCGUCAGUGACU